CUUAAAUAGCUUAAAUAUAAAGCUUGAUAUUGAAGAUAUCACGAUAAGUUAUACUUUUUAAGUGAA
RNAcentral lists this transfer RNA (66 nucleotides) under Leucophoroptera quadrimaculata. RNAcentral describes it as "tRNA-Phe". The record is from RNAcentral. Lineage: Eukaryota; Metazoa; Arthropoda; Insecta; Hemiptera; Miridae.